Molecule: ribosomal RNA, 739 nt
Filed under: Psychrobacter sp. 11.5.052CC4
Lineage: Bacteria; Pseudomonadati; Pseudomonadota; Gammaproteobacteria; Moraxellales; Moraxellaceae
Description: bacterial SSU rRNA
Rfam family: Bacterial small subunit ribosomal RNA
Source: RNAcentral
CGAGCGGAACGAUGGGAGCUUGCUCCCAGGCGUCGAGCGGCGGACGGGUGAGUAACACUUAGGAAUCUACCUAGUAGUGGGGGAUAGCUCGGGGAAACUCGAAUUAAUACCGCAUACGACCUACGGGAGAAAGGGGGCAGUUUACUGCUCUCGCUAUUAGAUGAGCCUAAGUCGGAUUAGCUAGAUGGUGGGGUAAAGGCCUACCAUGGCGACGAUCUGUAGCUGGUCUGAGAGGAUGAUCAGCCACACCGGGACUGAGACACGGCCCGGACUCCUACGGGAGGCAGCAGUGGGGAAUAUUGGACAAUGGGGGAAACCCUGAUCCAGCCAUGCCGCGUGUGUGAAGAAGGCCUUUUGGUUGUAAAGCACUUUAAGCAGUGAAGAAGACCUAACGGUUAAUACCCGUUAGCGAUGACAUUAGCUGCAGAAUAAGCACCGGCUAACUCUGUGCCAGCAGCCGCGGUAAUACAGAGGGUGCAAGCGUUAAUCGGAAUUACUGGGCGUAAAGCGAGCGUAGGUGGCUUGAUAAGUCAGAUGUGAAAUCCCCGGGCUUAACCUGGGAACUGCAUCUGAUACUGUUAAGCUAGAGUAGGUGAGAGGGAAGUAGAAUUCCAGGUGUAGCGGUGAAAUGCGUAGAGAUCUGGAGGAAUACCGAUGGCGAAGGCAGCUUCCUGGCAUCAUACUGACACUGAGGCUCGAAAGCGUGGGUAGCAAACAAGAUUAGAUACCCUGGUAGUCC